RNAcentral lists this ribosomal RNA (465 nucleotides) under uncultured bacterium. RNAcentral's name for it is "partial 16S ribosomal RNA". It matches the Rfam family "Bacterial small subunit ribosomal RNA", at positions 338 to 795 of the family's 1533-position model. The record is from RNAcentral.
CCUACGGGAGGCAGCAGUGGGGAAUAUUGCGCAAUGGGCGAAAGUCUGACGCCGCGACGCCGCGUGCGGGAUGAAGGUCUUCGGAUCGUUAACCUCUGUCAGCAGGGAAGAACGGUCACUGUGCUAAUCAGCAGUGACUUGACGGUACCUGCAAAGGAAGCACCGGCUAACUCCGUGCCAGCAGCCGCGGUAAUACGGAGGGUGCGAGCGGUAAUCGGAAUUACGGGGCGUAAAGCGCUCGUAGACGGUAUGUCAAGUCAAGGGUGAAAUCCCCGCGCUCAACGUGGGAAUUGCCUUUGAAACUGGCAAACUGGAGUGUGUGAGAGGAUAGUGGAAUUCCAGGUGUAGGAGUGAAAUCCGUAGAGAUCUGGAGGAACAUCAGUGGCGAAGGCGACUAUCUGGCACAUAACUGACGCUGAGGAGCGAAAGCGUGGGUAGCAAACAGGAUUAGAUACCCUUGUAGUC